Long non-coding RNA from Sapajus apella (tufted capuchin), 165 nucleotides. RefSeq lists it as uncharacterized. The record is from RefSeq and is a predicted model, not a curated record. Lineage: Eukaryota; Metazoa; Chordata; Mammalia; Primates; Cebidae. The transcript has 3 exons.
AUUUUCUUCACAUUUACUUCUUCUGGGUUCCAAUCUUUGGCAUGGAUUACUGUCCAGCUACAACUAGCUGCGACUAGCCUUGCCCUACACAGUUUACCUUCAGACUGAUGUGUGGCAAGAGGAGUCUGGGUCUCCUUUGAGUAAGACACUACUUCCCUUGGCAGA